GGACUACUGGGGUUUCUAAUCCUGUUCGAUCCCCACGCUUUCGUGCAUCAGCGUCAAUACCAGCUUAGUGAGCUGCCUUCGCAAUCGGAGUUCUAAGACAUAUCUAUGCAUUUCACCGCUACUUGUCUUAUUCCGCCCACUUCAAAUGGAUUCAAGCCCAUCAGUAUCAAAGGCACUGCGAUGGUUGAGCCACCGUAUUUCACCCCUGACUUAAUAGGCCGCCUACGCACCCUUUAAACCCAAUAAAUCCGGAUAACGCUCGGAUCCUCCGUAUUACCGCGGCGGCUGGCAC
RNAcentral lists this ribosomal RNA (292 nucleotides) under uncultured bacterium. RNAcentral's name for it is "partial 16S ribosomal RNA". The record is from RNAcentral. RNAcentral also lists the same sequence under 1 other name.